CCCAUUGAAAACGGGUUGGGAUGAGCUGUGGAUAGGGGUGAAAGGCCAAACAAACUUAGUGAUAGCUGGUUCUCUUCGAAAUAUAUUUAGGUAUAGCCUCAAGUGAUAAUAAAAGGGGGUAGAGCCCUGAUUGGGCUAGGGCUGCUCGCCGCGGUACCAAACCCUAUCAAACUUCGAAUACCUUUUAUCGUAUCUUGGGAGUCAGGCGGUGGGUGAUAAAAUCAAUCGUCAAAAGGGGAACAACCCAGACUACCAAAUAAGGUCCCUAAGUUCUAUUCUGAGUGGAAAAAGAUGUGUGGCUACUCAAACAACCAGGAGGUUGGCUUAGAAGCAGCCAUCCUUUAAAGAAAGCGUAACAGCUCACUGGUCUAGUGGUCAUGCGCUGAAAAUAUAACGGGGCUAAGAUAGACACCGAAUUUGUAGAUUGUGUUAAACACAGUGGUAGAAGAGCGUUCAUACCAGCGUUGAAGGUAUACCGGUAAGGAGUGCUGGAGCGGUAUGAAGUGAGCAUGCAGGAAUGAGUAACGAUAAGAUAUAUGAGAAUUGUAUCCGCCGUAAAUCUAAGGUUUCCUACGCGAUGGUCGUCAUCGUAGGGUUAGUCGGGUCCUAAGCCGAGUCCGAAAGGGGUAGGUGAUGGCAAAUUGGUUAAUAUUCCAAUACCGACUCAUGGAGCGUGAGUGGGGGACGCGAUAGGGUUAAGCGAGCUAGCUGAUGGAAUAGCUAGUCUAAGGGCGUAGAUUGGAGGGAAGGCAAAUCCACCUCUGUAUUUGAAACCCAAACAGGCUCUUUGACUAGCUGAUGGAAUAGCUAGUCUAAGGGCGUAGAUUGGAGGGAAGGCAAAUCCACCUCUGUAUUUGAAACCCAAACAGGCUCUUUGAGUCCUUUUAGGACAAAGGGAGAAUCGCUGAUACCGUCGUGCCAAGAAAAGCCUCUAAGCAUAUCCAUAGUCGUCCGUACCGCAAACCGACACAGGUAGAUGAGAUGAGUAUUCUAAGGCGCGUGAAAGAACUCUGGUUAAGGAACUCUGCAAACUAGCACCGUAAGUUCGCGAUAAGGUGUGCCACAGCGAUGUGGUCUCAGCAAAGAGUCCCUCCCGACUGUUUACCAAAAACACAGCACUUUGCCAACUCGUAAGAGGAAGUAUAAGGUGUGACGCCUGCCCGGUGCUCGAAGGUUAAGAGGAUGCGUCAGUCGCAAGAUGAAGCGUUGAAUUGAAGCCCGAGUAAACGGCGGCCGUAACUAUAACGGUCCUAAGGUAGCGAAAUUCCUUGUCGGUUAAAUACCGACCUGCAUGAAUGGCGUAACGAGAUGGGAGCUGUCUCAACCAGAGAUUCAGUGAAAUUGUAGUGGAGGUGAAAAUUCCUCCUACCCGCGGCAAGACGGAAAGACCCCGUGGACCUUUACUACAACUUAGCACUGCUAACGGGAAUAUCAUGCGCAGGAUAGGUGGGAGGCUUUGAAGUAAGGGCUUUGGCUCUUAUGGAGCCAUCCUUGAGAUACCACCCUUGAUGUUUCUGUUAGCUAACUGGCCUGUGUUAUCCACAGGCAGGACAAUGCUUGGUGGGUAGUUUGACUGGGGCGGUCGCCUCCUAAAAAGUAACGGAGGCUUGCAAAGGUUGGCUCAUUGCGGUUGGAAAUCGCAAGUUGAGUGUAAUGGCACAAGCCAGCCUGACUGUAAGACAUACAAGUCAAGCAGAGACGAAAGUCGGUCAUAGUGAUCCGGUGGUUCUGUGUGGAAGGGCCAUCGCUCAAAGGAUAAAAGGUACCCCGGGGAUAACAGGCUGAUCUCCCCCAAGAGCUCACAUCGACGGGGAGGUUUGGCACCUCGAUGUCGGCUCAUCGCAUCCUGGGGCUGGAGCAGGUCCCAAGGGUAUGGCUGUUCGCCAUUUAAAGCGGUACGCGAGCUGGGUUCAGAACGUCGUGAGACAGUUCGGUCCCUAUCUGCCGUGGGCGUAGGAAAGUUGAGGAGAGCUGUCCCUAGUACGAGAGGACCGGGAUGGACGUGUCACUGGUGCACCAGUUGUUCUGCCAAGAGCAUCGCUGGGUAGCUACACACGGAUGUGAUAACUGCUGAAAGCAUCUAAGCAGGAAGCCAACUCCAAGAUAAACUUUCCCUGAAGCUCGCACAAAGACUAUGUGCUUGAUAGGGUAGAUGUGUGAGCGCAGUAAUGCGUUUAGCUGACUACUACUAAUAGAGCGUUUGGCUUGUUUU
This 2212-nucleotide ribosomal RNA is filed under the name Helicobacter pylori R018c. RNAcentral's name for it is "bacterial LSU rRNA". It matches the Rfam family "Bacterial large subunit ribosomal RNA", at positions 785 to 2925 of the family's 2925-position model. The record is from RNAcentral. Lineage: Bacteria; Pseudomonadati; Campylobacterota; Epsilonproteobacteria; Campylobacterales; Helicobacteraceae.